ACGGUGCUGAAGCAACAAAUGCCCUGCUUCCAGGAAAAGCCUCUAAGCAUCAGGUAACAUCAAAUCGUACCCCAAACCGACACAGGUGGUCAGGUAGAGAAUACCAAGGCGCUUGAGAGAACUCGGGUGAAGGAACUAGGCAAAAUGGUGCCGUAACUUCGGGAGAAGGCACGCUGACACGUAGGUGAAGUGAUUUACUCAUGGAGCUGAAGUCAGUCGAAGAUACCAGCUGGCUGCAACUGUUUAUUAAAAACACAGCACUGUGCAAACACGAAAGUGGACGUAUACGGUGUGACGCCUGCCCGGUGCCGGAAGGUUAAUUGAUGGGGUCAGCGCAAGCGAAGCUCCUGAUCGAAGCCCCGGUAAACGGCGGCCGUAACUAUAACGGUCCUAAGGUAGCGAAAUUCCUUGUCGGGUAAGUUCCGACCUGCACGAAUGGCGUAAUGAUGGCCAGGCUGUCUCCACCCGAGACUCAGUGAAAUUGAACUCGCUGUGAAGAUGCAGUGUACCCGCGGCAAGACGGAAAGACCCCGUGAACCUUUACUAUAGCUUGACACUGAACAUUGAGCCUUGAUGUGUAGGAUAGGUGGGAGGCUUUGAAGUGUGGACGCCAGUCUGCAUGGAGCCGGCCUUGAAAUACCACCCUUUAAUGUUUGAUGUUCUAACGUGGACCCGUGAUCCGGGUUGCGGACAGUGUCUGGUGGGUAGUUUGACUGGGGCGGUCUCCUCCUAAAGAGUAACGGAGGAGCACGAAGGUUGGCUAAUCCUGGUCGGACAUCAGGAGGUUAGUGCAAUGGCAUAAGCCAGCUUGACUGCGAGCGUGACGGCGCGAGCAGGUGCGAAAGCAGGUCAUAGUGAUCCGGUGGUUCUGAAUGGAAGGGCCAUCGCUCAACGGAUAAAAGGUACUCCGGGGAUAACAGGCUGAUACCGCCCAAGAGUUCAUAUCGACGGCGGUGUUUGGCACCUCGAUGUCGGCUCAUCACAUCCUGGGGCUGAAGUAGGUCCCAAGGGUAUGGCUGUUCGCCAUUUAAAGUGGUACGCGAGCUGGGUUUAGAACGUCGUGAGACAGUUCGGUCCCUAUCUGCCGUGGGCGCUGGAGAACUGAGGGGGGCUGCUCCUAGUACGAGAGGACCGGAGUGGACGCAUCACUGGUGUUCGGGUUGUCAUGCCAAUGGCACUGCCCGGUAGCUAAAUGCGGAAGAGAUAAGUGCUGAAAGCAUCUAAGCACGAAACUUGCCCCGAGAUGAGUUCUCCCUGAGACUUUAGGUCUCCUGAAGGAACGUUGAAGACGACGACGUUGAUAGGCCGGGUGUGUAAGCGCAGCGAUGCGUUGAGCUAACCGGUACUAAUGAACCGUGAGGCUUAACCUUACA
This 1373-nucleotide ribosomal RNA is filed under the name Salmonella enterica. RNAcentral describes it as "partial 23S ribosomal RNA". It matches the Rfam family "Bacterial large subunit ribosomal RNA", at positions 1579 to 2925 of the family's 2925-position model. The record is from RNAcentral. Lineage: Bacteria; Pseudomonadati; Pseudomonadota; Gammaproteobacteria; Enterobacterales; Enterobacteriaceae.